ACUGGAUGAAACUGAAGUAGAGCAGCCACUGCAUGAUGGAGGAAUUCAGGCUUAAAUUUAAUCAUAUUUCCAAGGACUCAUCAUUUAUCCAUGCUUCAGGGUCACUUGUGUCUUUUGGUAAUCUUCUGCGUGAGAAAAAGAACUGGCAGAGAUGGUUGGAUCUAUGUCCAGAGUAUUUUGCCAAUUUGUGAUUCUCAGCGCAACCCAUGAUCAGGCUUCAGUUCCUGGCAUGGGGCUCCCUGCUCAUUACAGCAGCCAUGAUCAGAAGGUCACUGGGCAAGGAGGAUGACAAUGUCUCAUUCCCAGUGAAGGGGAAGGGCUGUGGAGCUGGUGCUGCCUCUGGUGAGCACUGCGGUAUUCUCCAGCUGUCAGUCAUCCUCAUUUGUUCCGCCAUCGAGCUUACCAGGAUUACUGGGAUGCUUAAAGCUAAACAAAAACGCAGAUGUUUGCAAGGUGAAGACCCAAGAGGCUUUUAAGAGCACAGGCUGUAGUUAAUUGCUUCUGCCAGGACAGAGCAGUUGGGGGCAUUUAGAACUCAACAGGAGUAAUAGUAAGAGCUCCCUCUCUAGAAAUAGAGCUUGUUAUCAUAGUAUUCAGAAGAAUUUGUUACUUCAAAGAAACUGUAGCCUGAAAGGCUUUAUCCUUCUGUUCAUAAUUUAAUGCUUUAUCAAACUAAUAGAUUCACAUUUGUUUGCAUUGUUCUCUCUGGGAGGUCAUUAAACAAAUUUCUGUCAGUGGAGUGCACUGAACUGCUCAUCUUCUGCCUCUUGCUGGUGUUUCAUGCUGGUACUGGAGAGAUGUUGCUUUCUUUUAUUUUUUUAAAUGUCUUUGCUUGACUUUUUCUAUUUCCUUUUGUGAUGAAGCAACUAUAAUUUGUACAAAUUAUGCAGCUGAUUUAAUUUGUGGUGAAUAAUUUUCUUACAGAUUUUGUAACUAGAUGCUAAUAAAUUCCUUCCAUGCUCCAUAUAGCAAACUUUCUCAUUCCUAAACUUAAUUGGGAUGCUACAAUACACUAAAAUAACAGAAAUAAAUCUAUUAACUUAAACUACAUACGUAUAGGCUAUACACAAAUAUGAUAUUAACAAAUAUAUGUAUACAAAAUUUGAUUUCUGUAAUUUUUCAUGAUAUUAUUCAGGAUACCAUAUUGAUUCAAUGUGAAGAAGGCAAAGAGCAAAGUGGAAUUCAAUAUUCUGUGUACUGAAAUGAACUUAAGAAUAUCCCUGGAGUAUCUGCACUGGGGACAAUGACUCUGCCAGUCCUGGGCAAUGGCAG
Long non-coding RNA from Lagopus muta (rock ptarmigan), 1272 nucleotides. RefSeq lists it as uncharacterized. Lineage: Eukaryota; Metazoa; Chordata; Aves; Galliformes; Phasianidae. The transcript has 3 exons. The record is from RefSeq and is a predicted model, not a curated record.